UACGUAGGUGACCAGCGUUGUCCGGAUUUACUGGGCGUAAAGGGCUCGUAGGUGGCCAACUAAGUCAGACGUGAAAUCCCCAGGCUUAACCUGGGAACUGCGUCUGAUACUGGAUGGCUUGAAUUCGGGAGAGGGAUGCAGAAUUCCAGGUGUAGCGGUGAAAUGCGUAGAUAUCUGGAGGAAUACCGGUGGCGAAGGCGGCAUCCUGGACCGAGAUUGACACUGGUGAGCGAAAGCUAGGGGAGCAAACGGG
RNAcentral lists this ribosomal RNA (253 nucleotides) under uncultured bacterium. RNAcentral describes it as "partial 16S ribosomal RNA". It matches the Rfam family "Bacterial small subunit ribosomal RNA", at positions 524 to 776 of the family's 1533-position model. The record is from RNAcentral.